CGUCGUUACAGUGAAGGGCUAUCAACAUUUGAAACAAUAACAAACAGUCAACAGCAAAUGGAAUGUAAAUGUCUUCUGAGGAUGCAGAAGAUCUUUUACAUGAUUCAGUUAUUGAAUUAUUUGACUUAUCUGAUUAUUCUUCAACUUUACCAAACGAUGCUAAAGAAAGAUAUGUUGCUAAGCUUAAUGAAGUACAGUGUGACUGUCCUUACGUCAUAGAAAAUGAGUAUUAUUUGUAAGUUUUAAUGCCUUGAACUAAAAAAACAGCCCAUCUCCAAAAAUUA
Molecule: long non-coding RNA, 284 nt
Organism: Daphnia magna
Lineage: Eukaryota; Metazoa; Arthropoda; Branchiopoda; Diplostraca; Daphniidae
Exons: 2
Source: RefSeq, a predicted model, not a curated record